Molecule: ribosomal RNA, 468 nt
Filed under: uncultured bacterium
Lineage: Bacteria
Description: partial 16S ribosomal RNA
Rfam family: Bacterial small subunit ribosomal RNA
Source: RNAcentral
GACGAACGCUGGCGGCGUGCUUAACACAUGCAAGUCGAACGGAAAGGCCCUGCUUUUGUGGGGUGCUCGAGUGGCGAACGGGUGAGUAACACGUGAGUAACCUGCCCUUGACUUUGUGAUAACUUCAGGAAACUGGGGCUAAUACCGGAUAGGAGCUCCUGCUGCAUGGUGGGGGUUGGAAAGUUUCGGCGGUUGGGGAUGGACUCGCGGCUUAUGAGCUUGUUGGUGGGGUAGGUGCUUACCAAGGCUUUGACGGGUAGCCGGCCUGAGAGGGUGACCGGCGACAUUGGGACUGAGAGACGGCCCAGACUCCUACGGGAGGCAGCAGUGGGGAAUAUUGCACAAUGGGGGCAAGCCUGAGGCAGCAGCCCCGCGUGCGGGAUGACGGCCUUCGGGUUGUAAACCGCUUUGGCCUGUGACGAAGAGUGAGUGACGGUAAUGGGUAAAGAAGCACCGGCUAACUACGUG